Molecule: long non-coding RNA, 264 nt
Organism: Leopardus geoffroyi (Geoffroy's cat)
Lineage: Eukaryota; Metazoa; Chordata; Mammalia; Carnivora; Felidae
Exons: 3
Source: RefSeq, a predicted model, not a curated record
CCGCCCGCGUCUGUGCUGGAGAGGCGUGGGAGCGGCGUGGGAGCGGCGUGGGUGCGCCCCUCGCGUCCUGGUGUGAAGGAGCGGUGGCCCCACGGGUGAAUAGUACAGAAGAGGAAGCUGCCAUCUUGUCCUGGAGCGGCAACAUUCUCAACAGAGGGUCGCCCCGUGAGACUUACUGAGACAGAGCAGUGGGAGUAGCCUAGGGAUCAUGGCAGCAAACCAGCCUGUCCAGAGCCGCGUCUUCAGCUGUGCAGCCCGUGGGAG